GAAGGAGUGAUGGGUCAGUAGAAGAGCAUCUGAUUUCCAUGCAGAAGGUCCCAGGUUCAAUCCCUGGCAUCUUCA
This 75-nucleotide transfer RNA is filed under the name Sphaerodactylus townsendi. RNAcentral describes it as "tRNA-Gly". It matches the Rfam family "tRNA". Rfam says of the family: Transfer RNA (tRNA) molecules are approximately 80 nucleotides in length. Their secondary structure includes four short double-helical elements and three loops (D, anti-codon, and T loops). The record is from RNAcentral. Lineage: Eukaryota; Metazoa; Chordata; Lepidosauria; Squamata; Sphaerodactylidae.